Molecule: ribosomal RNA, 253 nt
Filed under: uncultured bacterium
Lineage: Bacteria
Description: partial 16S ribosomal RNA
Rfam family: Bacterial small subunit ribosomal RNA
Source: RNAcentral
UACGUAGGAGGCAAGCGUUGUCCGGAAUUACUGGGCGUAAAGCGCACGCAGGUGGCUGAGUCAGUCGAUUGUGAAAGCCCUGGGCUUAACCUGGGAAUUGCAGUCGAUACUACUCAGCUAGAGUAUGGGAGAGGGCAGUGGAAUUCCCGGUGUAGCGGUGAAAUGCGUAGAUAUCGGGAGGAACAUCAGUGGCGAAGGCGGCUGCCUGGCCCAAUACUGACACUCAGGUGCGACAGCGUGGGGAGCAAACAGG